GACCAGACUGUAAAUUAUAUCCUUAUAAACGGCGCGUUCUGACAUCAGAACGCGCCGUUUAUAAGCUAGAGACGUCACUUGCCGCUGCUUCUCUUUUCCUCCACUGCGUCCUGCUUCUGUAAUUCGCUGGCUCAGCUUUUUCUUUACACGGCGCGCUCCUCCUGUGUCAUAACUAUGGCCUGUUUAAAUCAGUCAGUGUAAGGUUCGGCUCUCCCUAGCCCCACCCCCUCCGUCUGGCUCCCGUCACAUGAUGCUUCUAUCAUCUCCCUCCCCUUCGCAAAGUGCCUCUCUGUCUCACUCCCCCUCCCUUCCACUCACCGUUUUAACUUUAACUUUCUACUCCUCCGUGUCUGCUCCUUUAGCUCCCCCUCCACGAUGUCAUUCCAUUCUCCCUUACACAGUGAAACUCCGGUUUUGUUCCGCCUUUAGCCAUCACUCUCUGUUCCUGAAUUCUGUCACCUUCCUUUAUUCACCCUCCCCCCCUCAGCUGUCUUUAACCUGCAACUGACGACGUCACUCAAUGCAGGACAAGGAAAAUGAAAAUAGCAGAUUGAAUUCAAAAGGAAACUACGGCAAAAAUUCACCGCAAAAAAAAGCUGCCAAGACAAAACUGUCCAGAGACAAAAAAGUCACCAUGAGAAAAAACACCCAUUGGAUUUAAUGCAUUUGGACAAAAAAAGUUGCCGCAAGAAAAAUACCCAUUGACUUUAAUAAAAGUGAGAAAAAAUGGUUGCACAAGUAAAAAUAAAUUCUGGUACCCUUUCCAUGCCUUACUUAUA
Molecule: long non-coding RNA, 779 nt
Organism: Xenopus laevis (African clawed frog)
Lineage: Eukaryota; Metazoa; Chordata; Amphibia; Anura; Pipidae
Exons: 2
Source: RefSeq, a predicted model, not a curated record